RNAcentral lists this non-coding RNA (24 nucleotides) under Mus musculus (house mouse). Lineage: Eukaryota; Metazoa; Chordata; Mammalia; Rodentia; Muridae. The record is from RNAcentral.
UGGCACCAAAGCGUGGUCCAAGGU